This 497-nucleotide ribosomal RNA is filed under the name uncultured bacterium. Its description in RNAcentral is "partial 16S ribosomal RNA". It matches the Rfam family "Bacterial small subunit ribosomal RNA", at positions 28 to 507 of the family's 1533-position model. The record is from RNAcentral.
GAUGAACGCUGGCGGCGUGCCUAAUACAUGCAAGUCGAGCGAACGGACGAGAAGCUUGCUUCUCUGAUGUUAGCGGCGGACGGGUGAGUAACACGUGGAUAACCUACCUAUAAGACUGGGAUAACUUCGGGAAACCGGAGCUAAUACCGGAUAAUAUUUUGAACCGCAUGGUUCAAAAGUGAAAGACGGUCUUGCUGUCACUUAUAGAUGGAUCCGCGCUGCAUUAGCUAGUUGGUAAGGUAACGGCUUACUAAGGCAACGAUGCAUAGCCGACCUGAGAGGGUGGUCGGCCACACUGGAACUGAGACACGGUCCAGACUCCUACGGGAGGCAGCAGUAGGGAAUCUUCCGCAAUGGGCGAAAGCCUGACGGAGCAACGCCGCGUGAGUGAUGAAGGUCUUCGGAUCGUAAAACUCUGUUAUUAGGGAAGAACAUAUGUGUAAGUAACUGUGCACAUCUUGACGGUACCUAAUCAGAAAGCCACGGCUAACUACGUG